RNAcentral lists this long non-coding RNA (1011 nucleotides) under Homo sapiens (human). RNAcentral describes it as "HSALNT0337000". Lineage: Eukaryota; Metazoa; Chordata; Mammalia; Primates; Hominidae. The record is from RNAcentral.
ACAUCAACCUCUUGAAACAGUUAUUCUUUUGGGACCCGUAGCAUAUGUGUAGACAUGUGCACACAAAGAUAGAAGAUAUGCAAGUUCAUCAUGGAAGAAAGAAGGCAGACCAGCUCCAUGAACCAAGGUGCAGCUCCCAGCUCACUAUACUUGAGGCCACUGCAGUGCCACUUCACAUGGUGCAGGAGUAAACAUUGACCUUGCAGGUCUGAAAACAUCUGCCUUUAGUUAUUUCUCAUUUUGGAGAAAGAAGAUUUUGAAACUGAAGAUUUAAGUAAUUUGCCAGAGUCAGAAUGCUGUAAGCAUCAGAACUCGAUUUUCGAACUUAAGUUUAUCUGACUCAAAAGCUUUUGCCUUUCACCACCACCCUAUUGCUUCUAAAAUGUCAAACAUCGGCUGAACCACAGGACAGGUAUCCUAUAAAUGAGGAGGAUGUGGAUGCACCCCCAUGUGUACGUAAGGACACACGAGCUAAAGGCUUUACCUGACCCAGUAAAAGUGUCAAGCGCUCCAUCUCCAGUCGUGGCUGUGGUUUCACUGCUGUUCAAGGGCUCUGUUUUGACUGCAAGAAGAGACACUACGUAGAAGAAUAAGUACAUAAAAUAAGCUGCAUUCAUACUAAGUGAGCAUCAACAAGCACCUCUUGAUCUCUAAGACAGCAAACCAAAAUCAUUACAUGCAAUAAAAUGGAAGCAAAAUCCUUUUAUAGAAGACAAGCACCGUAUUUCUCAACCAAAUGCAAGCUUACACACCAAAUGUUUUGAUUUCAAAAGAAACAAUAUUUUAAUGUCCUAGGUUGAAGAGUUUUGUGGGAUUAUUAUUCUGUAUCUUCAAAGUAAGUGAGUCAGAGCUCGUUUUGCUAAAAGUGGCAUAAAAUUACUUUCUAUACCACUUUGUCGAGAACCGUUAAGAAAUCCUUGUACUGUCAGGUCCCCCUCCCCACUAGUUAGCUACUUGCAAUUUGGAUGUUUCUGAUAGAGUCAAAUGGUAAAAAUAAAUAAACAUACAUGA